Molecule: ribosomal RNA, 786 nt
Filed under: Triticum aestivum (bread wheat)
Lineage: Eukaryota; Viridiplantae; Streptophyta; Magnoliopsida; Poales; Poaceae
Description: partial small subunit ribosomal RNA
Source: RNAcentral
AUGCUGGCCAGGUGCCCCGCCUCCGCGUCCACCUUCCUGUGGAGUCCCCAGAACCGCGGUGGCAAGAUCGAGCUGUCGCCGUUGCCGAUCGAGCAGGACCUGCUCAUAGACUGCAUCUGCCUGCUCUCCAACAAGCCCACCGCUUCAAACUGCGUCGUGCUUCUGGUCGAGCCUUACGCCACCUUCAUAUGGUACUGUCACAUCGGAGGCGAUCAGUGGCAGAAGCACGACUACGACAUCGGAACCCAGCCGGCCCUCGACCUGCAAUCCGAGGACAAAGAGGUCAUAACUCCGAUCGCGGCAUGUGGGGGCAAGUUUUAUUUCAACAGCACACAAAUCGAGCUUGGUGUUCUUGAUUUCUGCCCCGCUCCCAUGUUCAGUUCCAUCAAGAUCAACGACGUGGUCGACGAUAUCUACGGUGUUGAACUGGCUCCAGCCCAAGUUUUUCUGGUGGAAUCGGACGGGGAGCUCUAUAUGGUUUCCCUGUUAUGGGCGAAAACAAUCUAUGGUGCAAGAGGUCAUAGGAUGGAUUUUUCAGAGCAGAGAUGGAGAAAAGUGUAUGAUCUUGGUGAUCGAGCGUUCCUCUUAUCCCUGUUCAACUCUGGUGCUCUCUGUUCCGUCGGCAAGUCUGGACUGCGAGAGAACUGCAUCUACAUGGCCUAUCUUUGGGAGCAGACCUUGCACAUUUUCAGUGUAAAAGAUGGUAGUAUGGAGACGCACAAGCUGGAUGAUGCUCCCUCCUCAGAUAAAGCAUUCUGGAUGCUCCCUGCCAAUCAUAUAGAUUAG